RNAcentral lists this ribosomal RNA (464 nucleotides) under uncultured bacterium. Its description in RNAcentral is "partial 16S ribosomal RNA". It matches the Rfam family "Bacterial small subunit ribosomal RNA", at positions 28 to 507 of the family's 1533-position model. The record is from RNAcentral.
GACGAACGCUGGCGGCGUGCUUAACACAUGCAAGUCGUACGGUAAGGCCCUUUCGGGGGUACACGAGUGGCGCACGGGUGAGUAACACGUGAGUAACCUGCCCACAACUUUGGGAUAACGCUAGGAAACUGGUGCUAAUACUGGAUAUGUGCUCCUGCUGCAUGGUGGGGGUUGGAAAGCUCCGGCGGUUGUGGAUGGACUCGCGGCCUAUCAGCUUGUUGGUGGGGUAGUGGCCUACCAAGGCGGCGACGGGUAGCCGGCCUGAGAGGGUGACCGGCCACAUUGGGGCUGAGAUACGGCCCAGACUCCUACGGGAGGCAGCAGUGGGGAAUAUUGCACAAUGGGCGGAAGCCUGAUGCAGCAACGCCGCGUGCGGGAUGACGGCCUUCGGGUUGUAAACCGCUUUCGCCUGUGACGAAGCGUGAGUGACGGUAAUGGGUAAAGAAGCACCGGCUAACUACGUG